RNAcentral lists this long non-coding RNA (233 nucleotides) under Olea europaea (common olive). Its description in RNAcentral is "long non-coding RNA (OEUR_LNC002529)". Lineage: Eukaryota; Viridiplantae; Streptophyta; Magnoliopsida; Lamiales; Oleaceae. The record is from RNAcentral.
AAUUUUUACUCUUAUAAAAAGGGGGAAGACCUAAUCUCGACUUAGAGAAAUGACUUGAUUUAGCUUUCUUUAUUCACAACUCAGCUAAGAAUUCAACCUGCGUAGAAAAGUAGAAAAAAGUUGGUAGACAGUUGAGGUCGAGCCAUCACUCUCUUUAAUGAAUAGUCUAUUAUUUGAAUUUGUUCUUGCAUAUAAGUAUAUCGAGAUUGCCUGAUGAUGCAUUUAUAUCGAGC